AAAAGGCAUGAUUAUAUUGCUUCAGUUCAUCACUUCUUGCUUCAUCAGUUUUCACUACAGUAACCCUAACAUUUGAAACCAACCCCAAACGGCGUCCACAAACCCUCCACGAUCGCGGCUCUCCUCCACGAUGACCGCAGCUCUCGAUCGCAGUGCUGUCCACCCCCAAACGGCGACGGCGCGGUGCUCCCUUCCACGGCGUUGGCACGUUGCUCCCCUCCAAGGGCGUCGGCGCGUUGCUCUCCUCCACGGGCGUCGGCGCGGUGCUCUCCUCCACGGGCGCUGCUCCACGGCUCCUCCUCCUCCUGUCUUGGCUCCACGUACGCGGUCAUCUUCGAGAAACCCCUCUCCUCCUCCUUCUUCCUCUUCUUCCCCUGUCUCGCCUCCUCCUCUUCGCAAACUUUGACAACACUACACGCAGCUGGAACCCCCCUCCUCCUCCUCUACGUAUUGGUGGAAGGAAAGGAGAAGGGGAAGGAGUUAUCGGCUUUGAUGCUCGAAUAUGCUCCAUGAUUGUGCAACAAUUCUGGGUUUGCAUUGCUGAUUGUCAGGGGAUGAAGAAAAAAGAUGUUACUCACCGGUGAUUUGGUGAUAUCUGUAUAUUUAGCAUUUUUAUCCUUCCCAAUCUAUGCUGCUAUUUCUCGAGGAUUUUGAACUAUUGAGUUUAUAACGUUGUCAAACAAGGUUUAUAAUUCGGAGGGACAAGGUUUAAUUGUUAUAGUUAGGAGUACUAAACCUACUUAGGAUACUACUGAAAGAAAGUUUUGGCGAUCUAAUUUUGCUAAUUAAUUCUUUUUUAUUUAGUCCUCUUCUUGAUGGAACUUUUCACUUGCAUUUUAUUCUGUUUUUGGAUUUGAAGAGUCAAAGAAAGGCUUUGUACCAAUGUCUCCUUAGGAUAUUAUUUUAUUUUUAUUUAUUUGUGAUCGCUUUGUUCUGUUUAAUGAUGGUUCAGGUCUUCAUCCUCGGGACAUUCGAAGUGUGGAUCCGUCUUUAUUUUUGACGAAUUUGGUACCCUCUUUGCUGGUUCAUGAGUAUGCGAUACUUCUAAAUCUGGGCUCCCUUCAAGCAAUAGCAAUGAAAGAUUGUGUACUUAUAUUUGAAUAUAAUCGUAAAGGAGGGUAAGCUUUUCUGGAGUCAUUGUUGCCCAGGUUGAACCCCAAGAACAGUAACGGAGGGCUAUCAAUGCCAUUUGAACUCGAGAUUUGGCUACAACUUGCUUAUAGUUGGAUGAGGUUUUUUGAAGAGAUAAAGGCGAUUCUUGGCACAAUAGUGAAGCACAAAGACCUUUUGGUUUCAAAUGAAAAAAUUGGUUUUUUUUUGUUCAAGUUCAUCAUGAGAAAAACAUGUAUUUUAUUUGCUUAUGUUUAAUUUUUAUUUGACUUGGUAACUUAGCAAGUAUAUGUUAAUUGAUACUUGGAACACCUUUCUAUAUAUAUACAUGCAAUAUAUAUUAUUAGCCUA
Non-coding RNA from Arachis ipaensis, 1461 nucleotides. The record is from RefSeq and is a predicted model, not a curated record. NCBI's taxonomy places the organism in Eukaryota, Viridiplantae, Streptophyta, Magnoliopsida, Fabales, Fabaceae.